This 110-nucleotide ribosomal RNA is filed under the name Helianthus annuus (common sunflower). Lineage: Eukaryota; Viridiplantae; Streptophyta; Magnoliopsida; Asterales; Asteraceae. The record is from RNAcentral.
UUUUGGGCUUUUGUGGCUGUAGAGCACAUGAUAACUCCACAGUUAAGCGUGCUCGGGUGGGAGAAAUACUAGGAUGGGUGACCUCUGGGAAGUCUCCAUCAGGGCAAUAA